CGCCGCCGGUCAGGAGAGAGCCUUUUUCGCAAGGGCCGCCGACGGCGCAGGACACCACCCGAACGCUCAGGCAAAAAGACUGACCCAGGUCA
This 92-nucleotide non-coding RNA is filed under the name Pseudorhodoferax sp. Leaf274. RNAcentral describes it as "Glycine riboswitch aptamer". It matches the Rfam family "Glycine riboswitch aptamer". From Rfam's summary of the family: This family represents the bacterial glycine riboswitch. Glycine riboswitches usually consist of two metabolite-binding aptamers domains with similar structures in tandem. RNAcentral also lists the same sequence under 1 other name. Lineage: Bacteria; Pseudomonadati; Pseudomonadota; Betaproteobacteria; Burkholderiales; Comamonadaceae. The record is from Rfam by way of RNAcentral.